CUUUGUUGGUAUGUGGUGCUGAGGAUCGAACCCGGGCCGCACGCAUGCCAGGCGAGCGCGCUACCGCUUGAGCCACAUCCCCAGCCCAUAGGGUAUUUUAUAUAAGGGACCUGAGCCAUGUGAGGACUUGGGCAUCCAUGGGAGGUCCUGUGACCAGUUCCCCUCAGAUACUCCAGGACAACCAUAUGCCCAUAGAGUAAUGGACACAGAGAAGAACUACCUGGGUCUGGUUGGGGAAGUCAAGGAAGGCAUCAGAGUGGAGGCAGCUUUUGACCUGGGCAUAGAGGAUGAGGUGGCUGGCAAGCUGGGGGCGUGUGUGUGUGUGGGGGGGGGCAGCGGACAGAGCAUGGAGGGCUUUGCCUCCCUUUCAGAAGAGUUUGUAUUAUACCUGGGAAGUGAGAGAGCCAUUGAAGGCUUUGAGGGUAAGAGUGACAGCAUCAGAUCUGGUGGCAAGGUGGAGGUUGUUCUGGAGGGACAUGACCCUAGAUCAGAGCUUCUUAACUGGGUGCCUGGACUUGCAAGGGAUCCAUGGACAGAAUGCUUGGGAUCUGUGAGCUUAAGUUGGAAAAAAGAAUUAUAUUGUCAUUGUCACUAUCCUGUGACUGAAAUUUAGUAUUUCCUUUAAAUAUGAGUCUAGGCAACAGAUCACAG
This 651-nucleotide long non-coding RNA is filed under the name Marmota monax (woodchuck). The record is from RNAcentral. Lineage: Eukaryota; Metazoa; Chordata; Mammalia; Rodentia; Sciuridae.